RNAcentral lists this ribosomal RNA (484 nucleotides) under uncultured bacterium. RNAcentral describes it as "partial 16S ribosomal RNA". It matches the Rfam family "Bacterial small subunit ribosomal RNA", at positions 30 to 507 of the family's 1533-position model. The record is from RNAcentral.
UUUGAACGCUGGCGGCAGGCCUAACACAUGCAAGUCGAGCGGAUGAAGGGAGCUUGCUCCUGGAUUCAGCGGCGGACGGGUGAGUAAUGCCUAGGAAUCUGCCUGGUAGUGGGGGAUAACGUCCGGAAACGGGCGCUAAUACCGCAUACGUCCUGAGGGAGAAAGUGGGGGAUCUUCGGACCUCACGCUAUCAGAUGAGCCUAGGUCGGAUUAGCUAGUUGGUGGGGUAAAGGCCUACCAAGGCGACGAUCCGUAACUGGUCUGAGAGGAUGAUCAGUCACACUGGAACUGAGACACGGUCCAGACUCCUACGGGAGGCAGCAGUGGGGAAUAUUGGACAAUGGGCGAAAGCCUGAUCCAGCCACGCCGCGUGUGUGAAGAAGGUCUUCGGAUUGUAAAGCACUUUAAGUUGGGAGGAAGGGCAGUAAGUUAAUACCUUGCUGUUUUGACGUUACCAACAGAAUAAGCACCGGCUAACUUCGUG